Molecule: ribosomal RNA, 496 nt
Filed under: uncultured bacterium
Lineage: Bacteria
Description: partial 16S ribosomal RNA
Rfam family: Bacterial small subunit ribosomal RNA
Source: RNAcentral
AUGAACGCUGGCGGCGUGCCUCAUACAUGCAAGUCGAGCGAACGGACGAGAAGCUUGCUUCUCUGAUGUUAGCGGCGGACGGGUGAGUAACACGUGGAUAACCUACCUAUAAGACUGGGAUAACUUCGGGAAACCGGAGCUAAUACCGGAUGAUAUUUUGAACCGCAUGGUUCAAAAGUGAAAGACGGUCUUGCUGUCACUUAUAGAUGGAUCCGCGCUGCAUUAGCUAGUUGGUAAGGUAAUGGCUUACCAAGGCAACGAUGCAUAGCCGACCUGAGAGGGUGAUCGGCCACACUGGAACUGAGACACGGUCCAGACUCCUACGGGAGGCAGCAGUAGGGAAUCUUCCGCAAUGGGCGAAAGCCUGACGGAGCAACGCCGCGUGAGUGAUGAAGGUCUUCGGAUCGUAAAACUCUGUUAUUAGGGAAGAACAUAUGUGUAAGUAACUGUGCACAUCUUGACGGUACCUAAUCAGAAAGCCACGGCUAACUACGUG